Molecule: ribosomal RNA, 492 nt
Filed under: uncultured bacterium
Lineage: Bacteria
Description: partial 16S ribosomal RNA
Rfam family: Bacterial small subunit ribosomal RNA
Source: RNAcentral
AGUGAACGCUGGCGGUAGGCCUAACACAUGCAAGUCGAACGGCAGCACAGUAAGAGCUUGCUCUUACGGGUGGCGAGUGGCGGACGGGUGAGGAAUACAUCGGAAUCUACUUUUUCGUGGGGGAUAACGUAGGGAAACUUACGCUAAUACCGCAUACGACCUACGGGUGAAAGCAGGGGAUCUUCGGACCUUGCGCGAUUGAAUGAGCCGAUGUCGGAUUAGCCAGUUGGCGGGGUAAAGGCCCACCAAGGCGACGAUCCGUAGCUGGUCUGAGAGGAUGAUCAGCGACACUGGAACUGAGACACGGUCCAGACUCCUACGGGAGGCAGCAGUGGGGAAUAUUGGACAAAGGGCGCAAGCCUGAUCCAGCCAUACCGAGUGGGUGAAGAAGGCCUUCGGGUUGUAAAGCCCUUUUGUUGGGAAAGAAAAGCAGCAGGUUAAUACCCCGCUGUUCUGACGGUACCCAAAGAAUAAGCACCGGCUAACUUCGUG